AACCCUCGACCUUAGUUGCCAGCAUUCAGUUGGGCACUCUAAGGUGACUGCCGGCUAAAAGUCGGAGGAAGGUGGGGAUGACGUCAAAUCAUCAUGCCCCUUAUGACCUGGGCUACACACGUGCUACAAUGGGCGGUACAAAGGGUCGCGAACCCGCGAGGGGAGCCAAUCCCAAAAAGCCGCUCUCAGUUCGGAUUGCAGGCUGCAACUCGCCUGCAUGAAGCCGGAAUCGCUAGUAAUCGCGGAUCAGCAUGCCGCGGUGAAUACCGUUCCCGGGCCUU
This 281-nucleotide ribosomal RNA is filed under the name uncultured Anoxybacillus sp. RNAcentral's name for it is "partial 16S ribosomal RNA". It matches the Rfam family "Bacterial small subunit ribosomal RNA", at positions 1100 to 1382 of the family's 1533-position model. Lineage: Bacteria; Bacillati; Bacillota; Bacilli; Caryophanales; Anoxybacillaceae. The record is from RNAcentral.